CGAGGCGGACGGGUGACCGCCGACGUAAGUGAAUACGGUUGGAGGAAAGUCCGGGCUCCGAAGAGCAGGGCGCUGGGUAACACCCAGUCGGGGCGACCCGAAGGAAAGUGCCACAGAAAUGACACCGCCAGGCGGCGUUUGUCUCCGGAGAGACGCCGUCGGGUAAGGGUGAAAUGGUGGGGUAAGAGCCCACCGGCGGCCGGGCGACCGGCCGACCAGGCAAACCCCGCCCGGAGCAAGACCAAAUAGGAGGGCGUUCACGGUUGCUCGCCGAGCCCUCGGGUAUCGGUCGCUAGAGGCGUCGGGCAACCGGCGUCGCAGACAGAUGGUCACCGUCCCGCAAGGGAUACAGAACCCGGCUUAUCGCCGCUCUCGGCCC
This is a non-coding RNA of Actinobacteria bacterium 13_1_20CM_2_65_11, 379 nucleotides long. The record is from Rfam. Lineage: Bacteria; Bacillati; Actinomycetota.